GACGAACCGUGCGAACGUUGUUCGGAAUCACUGGGCUUAAAGCGCACGUAGGCGGAUCUUUAAGUCAGGGGUGAAAUCCCGAGGCUCAACCUCGGAACUGCCUUUGAUACUGGGGAUCUCGAGUCCGGGAGAGGUGAGUGGAACUGCGAGUGUAGAGGUGAAAUUCGUAGAUAUUCGCAAGAACACCAGUGGCGAAGGCGGCUCACUGGCCCGGAACUGACGCUGAGGUGCGAAAGCGUGGGGAGCAAACAGG
Molecule: ribosomal RNA, 253 nt
Filed under: uncultured bacterium
Lineage: Bacteria
Description: partial 16S ribosomal RNA
Rfam family: Bacterial small subunit ribosomal RNA
Source: RNAcentral